Molecule: ribosomal RNA, 501 nt
Filed under: uncultured marine eukaryote
Lineage: Eukaryota
Description: SSU rRNA
Rfam family: Eukaryotic small subunit ribosomal RNA
Source: RNAcentral
UUAAAAAGCUCGUAGUUGGAUCUCGGCAAGUAGAGGGCGGUAUGCUUCGUAGCAUUACUGCCCUAUUACUUGUAGUUUUGCCAGAGGUUCCUGGGUGCUCUUAAUCGAGUGUCUAGGGAUGCUGGCAGGUUUACUUUGAAAAAAUUAGAGUGCUCAAAGCAGGCUAUUACGCUUGAAUAUUCGUGCAUGGAAUAAUAGAAUAGGAAGUUGUUUCUAUUUUGUUGGUUUUCGGAAAUCGACUUAAUGAUUAAUAGGGACAGUCGGGGGCAUUUGUAUUCAAACGACAGAGGUGAAAUUCUUGGACCGUUUGAAGACAAACUACUGCGAAAGCAUUUGCCAAGAAUGUUUUCAUUAAUCAAGAACGAAAGUUAGAGGUUCGAAGGCGAUUAGAUACCGCCCUAGUUCUAACCAUAAACGAUGUCAGCUAGCGAUCUGAGGACGUUUUUUUUGUAGACUCCUCAGGAAGCUUCCGGGAAACCAAAGCGUGUGGGUUCCGGGGGA